CCUACGGGUGGCAGCAGUGAGGAAUAUUGGUCAAUGGGCGCGAGCCUGAACCAGCCAAGUAGCGUGAAGGAUGACUGCCCUACGGGUUGUAAACUUCUUUUAUAAAGGAAUAAAGUGAGGCACGUGUGCCUUUUUGUAUGUAUUUUAUGAAUAAGGAUCGGCUAACUCCGUGCCAGCAGCCGCGGUAAUACGGAGGAUCCGAGCGUUAUCCGGAUUUAUUGGGUUUAAAGGGAGCGUAGAUGGAUCGUUAAGUCAGUUGUGAAAGUUUGCGGCUCAACCGUAAAAUUGCAGUUGAUACUGGCGGCCUUGAGUACAGUUGAGGCAGGCGGAAUUCGUGGUGUAGCGGUGAAAUGCUUAGAUAUCACGAAGAACCCCGAUUGCGAAGGCAGCCUACUAAACUGCUACUGACGUUGAUGCUCGAAAGUGUGGGUAUCAAACAGGAUUAGAUACCCGUGUAGUC
RNAcentral lists this ribosomal RNA (460 nucleotides) under uncultured bacterium. Its description in RNAcentral is "partial 16S ribosomal RNA". It matches the Rfam family "Bacterial small subunit ribosomal RNA", at positions 338 to 795 of the family's 1533-position model. The record is from RNAcentral.